GUGAACGCUGGCGGUAGGCCUAACACAUGCAAGUCGAACGGCAGCACAGGAGAGCUUGCUCUCUCGGUGGCGAGUGGCGGACGGGUGAGGAAUACAUCGGAAUCUGCCCAGUCGUGGGGGAUAACGUAGGGAAACUUACGCUAAUACCGCAUACGACCUUCGGGUGAAAGAGGGGGAUCGCAAGACCUCUCGCGAUUGGAUGAGCCGAUGUCGGAUUAGCUAGUUAGCGGGGUAAUGGCCCACCAAGGCGACGAUCCGUAGCUGGUCUGAGAGGAUGAUCAGCCACACUGGAACUGAGACACGGUCCAGACUCCUACGGGAGGCAGCAGUGGGGAAUAUUGGACAAUGGGCGCAAGCCUGAUCCAGCCAUACCGCGUGGGUGAAGAAGGCCUUCGGGUUGUAAAGCCCUUUUGUUGGGAAAGAAAUCUUUCAGGCUAAUACCCUGGGAGGAUGACGGUACCCAAAGAAUAAGCACCGGCUAACUUCGUG
RNAcentral lists this ribosomal RNA (489 nucleotides) under uncultured bacterium. RNAcentral describes it as "partial 16S ribosomal RNA". It matches the Rfam family "Bacterial small subunit ribosomal RNA", at positions 29 to 507 of the family's 1533-position model. The record is from RNAcentral.